GCCCAGGUGGUGAAAUUGGUAGACACGCUACUUUGAGGGGGUAGUGCCCGCUUUUGGGCGUGCAAGUUCAAAUCUUGUCCUGGGCA
RNAcentral lists this transfer RNA (86 nucleotides) under Candidatus Equibacterium intestinale. RNAcentral describes it as "tRNA-Leu". It matches the Rfam family "tRNA". From Rfam's summary of the family: Transfer RNA (tRNA) molecules are approximately 80 nucleotides in length. Lineage: Bacteria; Pseudomonadati; Bacteroidota; Bacteroidia; Bacteroidales. The record is from RNAcentral.